RNAcentral lists this ribosomal RNA (1394 nucleotides) under Streptomyces sp. NRRL B-2790. RNAcentral's name for it is "bacterial LSU rRNA". It matches the Rfam family "Bacterial large subunit ribosomal RNA", at positions 1553 to 2925 of the family's 2925-position model. The record is from RNAcentral. Lineage: Bacteria; Bacillati; Actinomycetota; Actinomycetes; Kitasatosporales; Streptomycetaceae.
AGUCUGAGACCUGAUGCCGAGCCGAUUGUGGCGAAGUGGAUGAUCCUAUGCUGUCGAGAAAAGCCUCUAGCGAGUUUCAUGGCGGCCCGUACCCUAAACCGACUCAGGUGGUCAGGUAGAGAAUACCGAGGCGUUCGGGUGAACUAUGGUUAAGGAACUCGGCAAAAUGCCCCCGUAACUUCGGGAGAAGGGGGGCCAGCUCUGGUGAGAGGACUUGCUCCUCGAGCUGGGGGUGGCCGCAGAGACCAGCGAGAAGCGACUGUUUACUAAAAACACAGGUCCGUGCGAAGCCGUAAGGCGAUGUAUACGGACUGACGCCUGCCCGGUGCUGGAACGUUAAGGGGACCGGUUAGCUUGGAUUCGUCCAGGCGAAGCUGAGAACUUAAGCGCCAGUAAACGGCGGUGGUAACUAUAACCAUCCUAAGGUAGCGAAAUUCCUUGUCGGGUAAGUUCCGACCUGCACGAAUGGCGUAACGACUUCUCGACUGUCUCAACCAUAGGCCCGGUGAAAUUGCACUACGAGUAAAGAUGCUCGUUUCGCGCAGCAGGACGGAAAGACCCCGGGACCUUUACUACAGUUUGAUAUUGGUGUUCGGUUCGGCUUGUGUAGGAUAGCUGGGAGACUUUGAAGCAGGCACGCCAGUGUUUGUGGAGUCGUCGUUGAAAUACCAGUCUGGUCGUGCUGGAUGUCUAACCUCGGUCCGUGAUCCGGAUCAGGGACAGUGUCUGAUGGGUAGUUUAACUGGGGCGGUUGCCUCCUAAAGAGUAACGGAGGCGCCCAAAGGUUCCCUCAGCCUGGUUGGCAAUCAGGUGUUGAGUGUAAGUGCACAAGGGAGCUUGACUGUGAGACCGACGGGUCGAGCAGGGACGAAAGUCGGGACUAGUGAUCCGGCGGUGGCUUGUGGAAGCGCCGUCGCUCAACGGAUAAAAGGUACCCCGGGGAUAACAGGCUGAUCUUCCCCAAGAGUCCAUAUCGACGGGAUGGUUUGGCACCUCGAUGUCGGCUCGUCGCAUCCUGGGGCUGGAGUCGGUCCCAAGGGUUGGGCUGUUCGCCCAUUAAAGCGGUACGCGAGCUGGGUUUAGAACGUCGUGAGACAGUUCGGUCCCUAUCCGCUGUGCGCGUAGGAAUAUUGAGAAGGGCUGUCCCUAGUACGAGAGGACCGGGACGGACGAACCUCUGGUGUGCCAGUUGUUCUGCCAAGGGCAUGGCUGGUUGGCUACGUUCGGGAGGGAUAACCGCUGAAAGCAUCUAAGCGGGAAGCCUGCUUCGAGAUGAGUAUUCCCACCUCCUUGAGAGGGUAAGGCUCCCAGUAGACGACUGGGUUGAUAGGCCAGAUAUGGAAGCCCGGUAACGGGUGGAGUUGACUGGUACUAAUAGGCCGAGGGCUUGUCCA